Molecule: ribosomal RNA, 492 nt
Filed under: uncultured bacterium
Lineage: Bacteria
Description: partial 16S ribosomal RNA
Rfam family: Bacterial small subunit ribosomal RNA
Source: RNAcentral
AGUGAACGCUGGCGGUAGGCCUAACACAUGCAAGUCGAACGGCAGCACAGUAAGAGCUUGCUCUUACGGGUGGCGAGUGGCGGACGGGUGAGGAAUAUAGCGGAAUCUACUUUUUCGUGGGGGAUAACGUAGGGAAACUUACGCUAAUACCGCAUACGACCUACGGGUGAAAGCAGGGGAUCUUCGGACCUUGCGCGAUUGAAUGAGCCGAUGUCGGAUUAGCUAGUUGGCGGGGUAAAGGCCCACCAAGGCGACGAUCCGUAGCUGGUCUGAGAGGAUGAUCAGCCACACUGGAACUGAGACACGGUCCAGACUCCUACGGGAGGCAGCAGUGGGGAAUAUUGGACAAUGGGCGCAAGCCUGAUCCAGCCAUACCGCGUGGGUGAAGAAGGCCUUCGGGUUGUAAAGCCCUUUUGUUGGGAAAGAAAAGCAGCAGGUUAAUACCCCGCUGUUCUGACGGUACCCAAAGAAUAAGCACCGGCUAACUUCGUG